GAUGAACGCUAGCGGCAGGCCUAACACAUGCAAGUCGAGGGGCAGCACAGGUAGCAAUACUGGGUGGCGACCGGCGGAUGGGUGCGUAACGCGUAUGCAACCUACCAUUGAUUGGGGCAUAGCCCGAAGAAAUUCGGAUUAAUACUCCAUAAUAUUCAUCAAAGGCAUCUUUUAUGAAUUAAAGCUUUUGCGAUCAAUGAUGGGCAUGCGUGACAUUGGUUAGUUGGUGAGGUAACGGCUCACCAAAACGAUGAUGUCUAGGGGUUCUGAGAGGAUUAUCCCCCACACUGGUACUGAGACACGGACCAGACUCCUACGGGAGGCAGCAGUGAGGAAUAUUGGUCAAUGGACGCAAGUCUGAACCAGCCAUGCCGCGUGCAGGAUGACGGCCCUAUGGGUUGUAAACUGCUUUUCCACGGGAAGAACCCUCCGACGUGUCGGAGACUGACGGUACCGUGGGAAUAAGCAUCGGCUAACUCCGUG
RNAcentral lists this ribosomal RNA (483 nucleotides) under uncultured bacterium. RNAcentral describes it as "bacterial SSU rRNA". It matches the Rfam family "Bacterial small subunit ribosomal RNA", at positions 28 to 507 of the family's 1533-position model. The record is from RNAcentral.